This is a long non-coding RNA of Arachis stenosperma, 636 nucleotides long. RefSeq lists it as uncharacterized. The transcript has 4 exons. Lineage: Eukaryota; Viridiplantae; Streptophyta; Magnoliopsida; Fabales; Fabaceae. The record is from RefSeq and is a predicted model, not a curated record.
GCUAUUUCUUUUUAUACGGUGAAAUGACAUGCCGGUUCCAUGAUAUAUGACAUGUCAUAUAGGUGUGUGACAAGUGAAAGGAUGCACUUCAGCUUUGCUGCAAUUUGCAAAGACAACAAACAUCCCCGUUCUUUUGGAAGAAAGAUCACCCAAUGCAGUGCAAGAGAAAGGUUUUAAUUUUGAUGAUACUAGGAUUAUGAGAGGAGCAUGGAGGAAUGAGUCUAAUCCUGAUAUCUGCAAGUUAAAUAGGAGUUCUUCAGAUGCCUUGCUAUACAUCAACAAAUGCACAGAUGCACAGAAAUACGACUCUUCCUAUUUUAAGGGUUUACUAAAAUAGAUGAUUCUCCUCAUAUUUUAUACAUAAUAAUAAAAAGGAGGAUGAUGCAGAAAACAUGUCUAUCUUGCCCAGCAGUAUCUCAGCAAAUCAACCAACGAUGAUUGCGAACAUAGAUACUAAUGUAGAUAACCUACAAUUUUGAAGAAGCAAGUAUGCAGUUUAAUACAUUUACCUUAUUGUAUCAACUGCCAAGUCUUAGGUGGUGUUUAUAUGUAUUUUUCAUUUUUUUUAAUUUUCAAUGUGCAAUAAGAAAGAUGUAUAAUGUAUAAUGAAUUUUAUAAAAGUAGGAUCACAUUUGU